UUCAUUAACAGCACUAUCACUAAUACCCGUACAAAUCUUGUUUAACAGGUAUUUUUUGUGUCAUGCCUCUGUGCCUUCUUCACUUAGCUACUUUCAACAACAGUUCAGUAUUGCACUUGGGGGGCCAUUUUAAACAGCAGCAUCACCAAAAAAGAAAGCACAAAAAUGUGAAAAAUGUAGCACUAAAUAAACUGCAAAAGAUGUUUAUAUUAUGAGAGCUAAAACAAGAAGGCAGAGCGUUGCCAUGGUCAGCCUCAGCUGGAACGCAUGUAUUGGUAAUAGGAACCUCAGUUUUCACCUGGUAAAUGGGAGCCUUGCAACAAAGUAUACAUUUCCCAGACACUUGGAAAGCUGUGAGGUGUGGUCAUGUGACCAACUUCUGGUCCAGGGAAUGUGAGCUGUGGUUAGGAUCCAGCACAAGUCACAGAACCUCUCUCCACUGAACCUACUGCAAACAGAGAUGCAGGAAAUUUUUGGAAGAGCUCAGGCUGCAGACUGUGGGCAGAACCGGAGGUGUUUACUUCAGGGAAAGCUUUUAGGGCUGAGCAAGUCAAGAAGCAUCACAUGCCAGGCACACACGUCUGCAGAGUUCCUACUGCUACCUCCAAGAUGUGUGAUCUCACCAAGAUAUUUUUGUAAUUGGAAACUGCUGUCAUUCAGACUUUGCAAUGACCUCACGGUAUU
This is a long non-coding RNA of Myotis brandtii (Brandt's bat), 684 nucleotides long. RefSeq lists it as uncharacterized. NCBI's taxonomy places the organism in Eukaryota, Metazoa, Chordata, Mammalia, Chiroptera, Vespertilionidae. The transcript is spliced from 4 exons. The record is from RefSeq and is a predicted model, not a curated record.